Molecule: long non-coding RNA, 147 nt
Organism: Hibiscus syriacus
Lineage: Eukaryota; Viridiplantae; Streptophyta; Magnoliopsida; Malvales; Malvaceae
Exons: 3
Source: RefSeq, a predicted model, not a curated record
AACCCUACAAAAACCCUACUUCCCCUUACAUUUCUUGAUUCCACUUAAACUCUCUCCUGCUGGCUGCGGCUUCCAGAUCUUAAAUCUGAGCGUCCCUGCUUUCAAUCAAGCCAUUAGCCAUGGCACUUGUAUUGCAUGCAGGAAAAA